Molecule: ribosomal RNA, 254 nt
Filed under: uncultured bacterium
Lineage: Bacteria
Description: partial 16S ribosomal RNA
Rfam family: Bacterial small subunit ribosomal RNA
Source: RNAcentral
UACGUAGGUGGCUAGCGUUGUCCGGAUUUACUGGGCGUAAAGAGCGCGCAGGCGGUCGUUCAAGUCGAGUGUGAAAGCCCCCGGCUCAACUGGGGAGGGUCACUCGAUACUGAUCGACUCGAAGGCAGGAGAGGGUAGUGGAAUUCCCGGUGUAGUGGUGAAAUGCGUAGAUAUCGGGAGGAACACCAGUGGCGAAGGCGACUACCUGGCCUGUUUCUUGACGCUGAGGCGCGAAAGCUAGGGGAGCAAACGGG